This 500-nucleotide ribosomal RNA is filed under the name uncultured Myrionecta. RNAcentral describes it as "SSU rRNA". It matches the Rfam family "Eukaryotic small subunit ribosomal RNA", at positions 36 to 601 of the family's 1831-position model. Lineage: Eukaryota; Ciliophora; Litostomatea; Cyclotrichida; Mesodiniidae. The record is from RNAcentral.
CUGUCCAGACUAGCCAUGCACGUCUAGUACAAACUAAAUGAUGGUGAAACUGCAAAUGGCUCAUUACAACGGUUAUGAUGUACCCGGGAGUUCCGAUGGAUAUUUCCAGUAACACUAGAGCUAAUACAUGUCCCUGCGUUUAUUAGUUUCGCACAGUCCGUCGCUGAGUCAUGGUAAACAGUUGAUCGACUCGACGUCCCGGAACAGUUUCCGCCCCAUCAGCUUCGAUGGUUGGGUAUUGGCCUACCAUUGCAACAACGGGUAACGAGGAAUUAGGGUUUGAUUUCGGAGAGGGAGCCUGAGAAACGGCUACCACAUCUACGGAUGGCAGCAGGCGCGCAAAUUACCCAAUGCAGACACUGUGAGGUAGUGACGAGAAAUAAUAAAGCGGGACUUCUGUUUCGCUAUUAUAAUGAGGAAUAACCAAAGGUCAUUCCGAUUAGCAACUGAUGGGAAAGUCUGGUGCCAGCAGCCGCGGUAAUACCAGCGUCAGUAGCAUA